GCUGGUAGAGCUCAGCAGUAAAGCAUCUGCCUAGCAUGCAGGAGGCCCUGGGUUUAAUCCCAGUUCCACA
RNAcentral lists this transfer RNA (70 nucleotides) under Rattus norvegicus (Norway rat). It matches the Rfam family "tRNA". Rfam says of the family: Transfer RNA (tRNA) molecules are approximately 80 nucleotides in length. Their secondary structure includes four short double-helical elements and three loops (D, anti-codon, and T loops). Lineage: Eukaryota; Metazoa; Chordata; Mammalia; Rodentia; Muridae. The record is from Rfam by way of RNAcentral.